UUGGGCGUAAGCGAGCGCAGGCGGUUAGAAAAGUCUGAAGUGAAAGGCAGUGGCUCAACCAUUGUAGGCUUUGGAAACUGUUUAACUUGAGUGCAGAAGGGGAGAGUGGAAUUCCAUGUGUAGCGGUGAAAUGCGUAGAUAUAUGGAGGAACACCGGUGGCGAAAGCGGCUCUCUGGUCUGUCACUGACGCUGAGGCUCGAAAGCGUGGGGAGCGAACAGGAUUAGAUACCCUGGUAGUCCACGCCGUAAACGAUGAGUGCUAGGUGUUGGGUCCUUUCCGGGGCUCAGUGCCGCAGCUAACGCAUUAAGCACUCCGCCUGGGGAGUACGACCGCAAGGUUGAAACUCAAAGGAAUUGACGGGGGCCCGCACAAGCGGUGGAGCAUGUGGUUUAAUUCGAAGCAACGCGAAGAACCUUACCAGGUCUUGACAUCCCAGUGACCACCCUAGAGAUAGGGUUUCCCUUCGGGGCACUGGUGACAGGUGGUGCAUGGUUGUCGUCAGCUCGUGUCGUGAGAUGUUGGGUUAAGUCCCGCAACGAGCGCAACCCUUAUUGUUAGUUGCCAUCAUUGAGUUGGGCACUCUAGCGAGACUGCCGGUAAUAAACCGGAGGAAGGUGGGGAUGACGU
Molecule: ribosomal RNA, 629 nt
Filed under: uncultured bacterium
Lineage: Bacteria
Description: bacterial SSU rRNA
Rfam family: Bacterial small subunit ribosomal RNA
Source: RNAcentral